UACGUAGGGUGCGAGCGUUGUCCGGAAUUACUGGGCGUAAAGAGCUCGUAGGUGGUUUGUCGCGUUGUUCGUGAAAACUCACAACUCAAUUGUGGGCGUGCGGGCGAUACGGGCAGACUGGAGUACUGCAGGGGAGACUGGAAUUCCUGGUGUAGCGGUGGAAUGCGCAGAUAUCAGGAGGAACACCGGUGGCGAAGGCGGAUCUCUGGGCCUUACCCGACGCUCAGGCGCGAAAGCUAGGGGAGCGAACAGG
RNAcentral lists this ribosomal RNA (253 nucleotides) under uncultured bacterium. RNAcentral describes it as "partial 16S ribosomal RNA". It matches the Rfam family "Bacterial small subunit ribosomal RNA", at positions 524 to 776 of the family's 1533-position model. The record is from RNAcentral.